UGACUUUGGUCAAAGUCAAACUGUUUUAAGUUUGAAAAUUUAUAGAAAAAAGUAGUAACAUUUUCAACCCAUUAUCAAAAUAUAUUCAAUAUUGAUUUGAUGACACUAAUUUAAUAUUAUAAAUAUUAUUACAUUUGUCUAUAAAUUUAGUCAAACUUGAAACAGUUUGACUUUGACCAAAGUCAA
This 186-nucleotide microRNA precursor is filed under the name Oryza glumipatula. RNAcentral describes it as "MIR1435 microRNA precursor family". It matches the Rfam family "MIR1435 microRNA precursor family". Lineage: Eukaryota; Viridiplantae; Streptophyta; Magnoliopsida; Poales; Poaceae. The record is from Rfam by way of RNAcentral.